UUUUAAGGGUCCUUUCUGUCUCUCGUUUUUCUACACGUCUAGGAUUUUAAUUCCUGCUUGACAUUUGACUAAGCAGAAGACAUCGGUGAAGAGAACAUCUCAUUUAAACACCUGUAGGGACAGAUUGGGUGAGCCCCGGCCUGAAAGCAGAAAUCUGCAAGUAAGAACCAGUCUGGAAGUCACAGCAAGGCGUUUCUGUUUCCCCCACGGUGUUUUCCAGGGAGGAACUAAGAGAGGAGAUUGGGAAAUUGCUUUCAAAUACACUGCAGAACAUAGGAGCUCUAAGGUCAUUAUGCACUUGCUAGUUCCUGAGGGCCGUUUCCUCUAUAAUGAACAUGUACUUCUUUUUUUUUUUUCUUCUUUUCUUUUUUUUCGG
This 376-nucleotide long non-coding RNA is filed under the name Rattus norvegicus (Norway rat). RNAcentral's name for it is "long non-coding RNA NONRATT007668". The record is from RNAcentral. Lineage: Eukaryota; Metazoa; Chordata; Mammalia; Rodentia; Muridae.